UACAUGGGGUGCAAACGUUGCUCGGAAUCAUUGGGCGUAAAGCGCGCGUAGGCGGUUAUUUAAGUUGGAUGUGAAAGCCCUCGGCUUAACUGAGGAAGUGCAUCCAAAACUGAAUAGCUAGAGUACGAAAGAGGGUCGCGGAAUUCCCGGUGUAGAGGUGAAAUUCGUAAAUAUCGGGAGGAACACCGGUGGCGAAGGCGGCGACCUGGGUCGAGACUGACGCUGAGGCGCGAAAGCGUGGGGAGCAAACAGG
This 253-nucleotide ribosomal RNA is filed under the name uncultured bacterium. RNAcentral's name for it is "partial 16S ribosomal RNA". It matches the Rfam family "Bacterial small subunit ribosomal RNA", at positions 524 to 776 of the family's 1533-position model. The record is from RNAcentral.